GAAGAGGGUGGUGUUUGCACCAAAUUCUCUGCUUCCUUCAAAAACACUGAAAAGGGAAAAUGUUUUUCCUGUUAGUGACUGGUCUAAUUACUAUUUCUGCUUGCAUGAGAAUAUAUCCCAAAUAUUCUGCUUGCAUGAGAAUAUAUCCCAAAUUUAGAGAGGGAUUUUUUUGGGGGUCCUGUUAACCUGAGAAAGCUUGUUGGUUUUUAUUUUUGUUUUAUUAUUCCUGGCAGUAGAAUUACAUUCACUGUUCCUCCUAUUUAGAAUCUAACUUUUAAAUACUGUGGGAACUGUAAUGUAACCGUCUCCAUGAAGUGUCAGGUUGCCAUUCAUAAGAGAACCUUUUGGGGGUUUUGGGGUGUUUUUUUAACCAGUGGAUCAUCUAGGCUGGGGAUGAGUGGGGCUGUUGAGCAGAAGCACUGGAGACAAUGUUGGUCAGGUAGGUACCCUUUAGCUGGUGGUAGUUAAUACUAUCCUGUUGAAUCCUGAUAAAACUUACUGAAAAUAGUCAGAGGUUUGUGCAUACUAGUAUUAUUUUUUUCCUAAAGGCAAUAGGAUGUUCAUAGGCAUUUCUUUGUUCCUAAGGCAAACAUAGUAUUGAUACAGAAGUGUUUUUUCUUGGGACAUCAGCAUUGAGUCUGGUUAAUGUUACUUCUGUAUGCAUACGUAUCCUUCUAGGCUUGUAAUAUUAUCUGGAAUUCCCAGUUUUCUGCAACAGCUUUGUUAUUAGAUGUGUGCUGUCUGAAGUCUGCACUUCAGUUACCUUCAUUAUCAUGAUGAUAUCAAGGUCACACCUAACAGCCAGACAGCCCAGGUCAUAUAUCUGUGGGGAAAAGGAGAGGUGCACAGGGAACAGUGGUAGAACAAGGGGUUAUGGAGGAAUAGGGACUGUAUAAUUUACUUACCUGUGUGGGAAAUGUCUACAUCUAGUUACAAAUGAAAAUUUCUUAGAUCUUUUCUCAAACUUGUAUUUUUUGUAUUUGCCUGAAAUAAGGAUAGUGGAGAGAUAAUGACAUUACCAGAGAUGUGGAACAAAUUCUCAAAGGAGUAUAAUUAUGCUGUUCUGGGGAAGAUUAUAUUUUAAAAUAUCGAUAUGCUUCAGCAGCUCUGAAAAGAAAAGUGGGAAGAAGGAAAAAGAGCAGCUGACAUACAUCAGAAGUUGGGGAUACUGGAAAUACUGCCUUGCCCUCCUGAAUGUUGUCUGACAAAGUAGAAUGCUGUAUAAAACUCUUCAGUUACAGUGAUGGGUCUCUCCACAUUUUGUUUUGGAGGAUGUUUAAAGAAAAUAAGUAAAAGCAGGCAUUUCCCACAGUCAUGGCUUGCCUUUGCCUUUGUUUUGUCUGCCCUGUGCCAGGGAGGCACUGUAUAUUGCGUGCUUGGCAAAACAUCUUGCUUUUCCUUCCUAUUUGAUACCACUAAUCCUCAGUGUGACCUUGCAAAGCGACUAGAGAUGCUGAAGAAACUUCAAGCAAAAACUGGUUUUAUUUGAGCCAGGUGGUGGGUUGAGUUCUUGAUUACUGAGUUAGCACAAACAAAAAUUGUAAAGCACAACAACAAAGUACAGACACAGAGACCUGUCAUACAUUCUGUUCAACCUGUUUCUCCAGGAUUUUGUCCACAGUGUUUUAUAGCUACAGAAAUCUGAGGAUCCAGCUCAGCGUAGGUGCUCUUUCCCAUGAUAAUGCUCUCUUUCUAAGAGGGAGCCUUUCCUAGAAUUAAAGGAAGAAUAUUUCAGAUCACA
This is a long non-coding RNA of Strigops habroptila (Kakapo), 1741 nucleotides long. RefSeq lists it as uncharacterized. NCBI's taxonomy places the organism in Eukaryota, Metazoa, Chordata, Aves, Psittaciformes, Psittacidae. The record is from RefSeq and is a predicted model, not a curated record. The transcript has 2 exons.